This 497-nucleotide ribosomal RNA is filed under the name uncultured bacterium. RNAcentral describes it as "bacterial SSU rRNA". It matches the Rfam family "Bacterial small subunit ribosomal RNA", at positions 29 to 507 of the family's 1533-position model. The record is from RNAcentral.
AUGAACGCUAGCGGCAGGCUUAAUACAUGCAAGUCGAGGGGCAUCAAGGUACACGAAAGUGUAUUGUUGGCGACCGGCGGACGGGUGAGUAAUAGGUAGGUAACCCUACCUCAUACUGAGGCAUAGCUGGGAGAAAAUUCCAGGUAAUUCCUCAUGAGGUUAUAUGACACAUGUGAUAUAAAUCAAAGGUAUCGCAAGGUACUGGUAUGAGAUGGGCUUACUGACUAUUAGCUAGUUGGUGAGAUAAGAGCUCACCAAGGCGAAGAUGGUUAGGGGUUUUGAGAGAGAGAUCCCCCACAUUGGAACUGAGAUACGGUCCAGACUCCUACGGGAGGCAGCAGUAGGGAAUAUUGGGCAAUGGGCGGAAGCCUGACCCAGCCAUGCCGCGUGAAGGAAGACGGCCUUAUGGGUUGUAAACUUCUUUACUACGCGAAUAGAGGUUAGUACGAGAUACUAAUAGGAAGGUAGUGUAGUAAAAAGCACCGGCUAACUCCGUG